GCUUCCCGCGCGGCGCGCCGUGAUGACGUGGCGCGGGCGGGCUGGAGCUGGGUUGAAACUGGAGGAAGGGCUGCAGGCUGAGCUGCGCCGCAAGAGAUAAGAGAUGAGUGACAGGAAGGCCCACGGACAACCCCACGGUCCCAGACUGGCCUUCUGACCGUUUUGCUGGCUACCAUUCCAGCCCUACCCCUUCAUCCCGUUCCUGUCCUGAAUGCCUUGCGGUUUCGCGUCUGAAUACCAUCCUUCCGCAUGGUCAGUGGUCGGUUCACCUGUCAAAAUGAAGGCCAUGGGUGUUUCCCAACUCCAGAUCUUUGCCGCCAUGUCUCCACCAGGGACACCCUCUCCAUCCCACUCCUUAAGAAUAGGAAAUUGAGUCGAGGACUACGGGAGCAGGCCCUGGGUGUAGCACAGGGGGAUAGAGGUGAAGACCAAGAACAAACCCUCUCUUCUUUUCCUCAAGCUGAAAUUCAUCUCUUUUGCAAGAAAUGACAAGACACAGAGGAUGCCCAGCCCUAUGAGUACAAACCCUCCGUUGGCCAAUUUAACCCAGUCCCCUCCUUUCCCACUCUGCAGCUAUGAUCACAGAGGACAGGAAAAGGAGGGAGCAUCUCAGAUGAAAUUAAUGCUUCAGGGCAUGAGUGUUUACAGAUCCACCUUGAAACCCAGUGGGAGAGCACACCUCCUCCCCCCAACUUCCCUCCCUCUUCACACUUCCCACCAGAGCCCAAAUGGAGGGUGAAGCCACAGUGUACAGAGAGCCUGGAGUCCUCAGCCACUACAUGGAAGUCCACCUAUCAACCAGGAAUACCCACAUUUGUCUGUGAUGAGAGCAAGAAAUAAACUUUUAUUAGUAUGUGAAACCACUGACAUUGUGGGGUGGGUUUGUUACUGUAGAAGAAUUAAUUCCUGAAUACACAAUGUUGUGUGGAUUGAAUCUGUGUGGAGAUGGGCUCUGC
This is a long non-coding RNA of Hipposideros armiger (great roundleaf bat), 956 nucleotides long. RefSeq lists it as uncharacterized. The record is from RefSeq and is a predicted model, not a curated record. NCBI's taxonomy places the organism in Eukaryota, Metazoa, Chordata, Mammalia, Chiroptera, Hipposideridae. The transcript is spliced from 5 exons.